AGUCUGGUGCCAGCAGCCGCGGUAAUUCCAGCUCCAAUAGCGUAUAUUAAAUUUGUUGCAGUUAAAAAGCUCGUAGUUGGAUCUCAGGUGAGGUGUGUCGGUGUGUUCAAUGAGCAUCACCGUUCAUGUCUGCCUUUCUCAGUCGUUUGUCCUCUCAUGGUUCUCUUAACUGAGUGCUAUAAGAGGCUCGACACGUUUACCUUGAAAAAAUCAGAGUGCUCAAAGCAGGCCUUUGCGCUUGUAUGUUGUUGCAUGGAAUAAUGGAAUAGGACUUCGGUUCUAUUUUGUUGGUUUUCGGUGCCGAAGUAAUGAACAAUAGAGACAGACGGGGGCAUUUCUAUGGCUGUGAUAGAGGUGAAAUUCUGAGACCGCAGCCAGAGAAACUACUGCGAAAGCAUUUGCCAAGCAUGUCUUCAUUAAUCAAGAACGAAAGUCAGAGGUUCGAAGACGAUCAGAUACCGUCCUAGUUCUGACCUUAAACGAUGCCGUCCGAUAAUCAGGAGUGGUUAUAUUUUAUUAAUCCUCCUGGCUGUCCCUGGGAAACCUUAGAUAGGUUCUGGGGGGAAUAUGGUCGCAAGGUUGGAACUUAAAGGAAUUGACGGAAGGGCACCACCAGGAGUGGAGCCUGCGGCUUAAUUUGACCCAACACGGGGAAACUCACCCGGUCCGGACACUGUGAGGAUUGACAGAUUGAUAGCUCUUUCUUGAUUCAGUGGGUGGUGGUGCAUGGCCGUUCUUAGUUGGUGGAGUGAUUUGUCUGGUUAAUUCCGAUAACGAACGAGACUCUAUCCUGCUAAAUAGUUUGGUGGCAUCGGUCGCUUCGGUGACUAAAGCUGCUAAAACUUCUUAGAGGGAUUCGCGGUAUUUAAACCGCACGAAAGAGAGCAAUAACAGGUCUGUGAUGCCCUUAGAUGUCCGGGGCCGCACGCGCGCUACAUUGACAGUAUCAGAAAGUAAUACCACCUAGCUAGAGAUAGUUGGGAAAUCUUUGAAUUACUGUCUCCACAGGGAUUGAGGUUUGUAACUAUCCCUCAUGAACGAGGAAUUCCCAGUAGGCGUAAGUCAUCAGCUUACGUCGAUUACGUCCCUGCCCUUUGUACACACCGCCCGUCGCUACUACCGAUUGAGUGGAUUAGUGAGGCCCUCAGAUUGAGGCUUUGAUGGCGAAAGUCACUAAGGUCUCGAAAAGUGGGUCAAACUUGUUCAUUUAGAGGAAGUAAAAGUC
This 1225-nucleotide ribosomal RNA is filed under the name metagenome. RNAcentral's name for it is "SSU rRNA". It matches the Rfam family "Eukaryotic small subunit ribosomal RNA", at positions 558 to 1790 of the family's 1831-position model. The record is from RNAcentral.